AGAGUUUGAUCCUGGCUCAGAACGAACGCUGGCGGCGCGUUUUAAGCAUGCAAGUCGAGCGGCAAGGGUACUUCGGUACCCCUAGAGCGGCGGACGGGUGAGUAACACGUGGAUAACCUGCCCCCGGGUGCGGGAUAGCCCAGGGAAACCUGGAUUAAUACCUCGUAAGACCACGCUCUGCAGGGAGAGUGGGAAAAGGCGCUUCGGCGUCGCCUGGGGAUGGGUCCGCGUCCCAUUAGCUAGAUGGUAGGGUAAGAGCCUACCAUGGCGACGAUGGGUAGCCGGCCUGAGAGGGUGAACGGCCACACUGGAACUGAGACACGGUCCAGACUCCUACGGGAGGCAGCAGCUAAGAAUCUUCCGCAAUGGGCGCAAGCCUGACGGAGCGACGCCGCGUGGGCGAGGAAGGCCGCAAGGUUGUAAAGUCCUUUUCGGGAAGGGGAAUAAGAGUGAUAGGCAAUGAUCACUUGAUGACAUGAAUCCCGGAAUAAGCCCCGGCUAACUACGUGCCAGCAGCCGCGGUAACACGUAGGGGGCGAGCGUUGUUCGGAAUCAUUGGGCGUAAAGGGCGCGCAGGCGGCGUGUAAAGUCUGGCGUGGAAGUCCCCGGCUCAACUGGGGGAUUGCGUUGGAAACUGGCACGCUUGAGUACGACAGGGGAUGGCGGAAUUCCAGGUGUAGGGGUGAAAUCUGUAGAUAUCUGGAGGAACACCAAUGGCGAAGGCAGCCAUCUGGAUCAGUACUGACGCUGAGGCGCGAAGGUGCGGGGAGCAAACAGGUUUAGAUACCCUGGUAGUCCGCACAGUAAACGAUGUGCACUAGGUGUCGGGCAGUCAAUGUUCGGUACCGUAGCAAACGCGUUAAGUGCACCGCCUGGGGAGUAUGCCCGCAAGGGUGAAACUCAAAGGAAUUGACGGGGGCGUGCACAAGCGGUGGAGCAUGUGGUUUAAUUCGAUGAUACGCAAGGAACCUUACCCGGGCUCGAACGGUGCAUGAAUAUACGAGAGAUUGUAUAGUCCUUCGGGACAUGUAUCGAGGUGCUGCAUGGUUGUCGUCAGCUCGUGCCGUGAGGUGUCGGCUUAAGUGCCAUAACGAGCGCAGCCCGCGCUGUGUGUUACAAG
RNAcentral lists this ribosomal RNA (1120 nucleotides) under uncultured bacterium. Its description in RNAcentral is "bacterial SSU rRNA". It matches the Rfam family "Bacterial small subunit ribosomal RNA", at positions 8 to 1121 of the family's 1533-position model. The record is from RNAcentral.